RNAcentral lists this transfer RNA (75 nucleotides) under Candidatus Doudnabacteria bacterium RIFCSPHIGHO2_01_FULL_50_11. RNAcentral describes it as "tRNA-Val". It matches the Rfam family "tRNA". From Rfam's summary of the family: Transfer RNA (tRNA) molecules are approximately 80 nucleotides in length. Their secondary structure includes four short double-helical elements and three loops (D, anti-codon, and T loops). Further hydrogen bonds mediate the characteristic L-shaped molecular structure. tRNAs have two regions of fundamental functional importance: the anti-codon, which is responsible for specific mRNA codon recognition, and the 3' end, to which the tRNAs corresponding amino acid is attached (by aminoacyl-tRNA synthetases). tRNAs cope with the degeneracy of the genetic code in two manners: having more than one tRNA (with a specific anti-codon) for a particular amino acid; and 'wobble' base-pairing, i.e. permitting non-standard base-pairing at the 3rd anti-codon position. Lineage: Bacteria; Candidatus Doudnaibacteriota. The record is from RNAcentral. RNAcentral also lists the same sequence under 2 other names.
GGGCGCUUAGCUCAGUGGUAGAGCGUUCGCUUCACACGCGAAAGGCCGCAGGUCCAAUCCCUGCAGCGCCCACCA